Non-coding RNA from Sus scrofa (pig), 6961 nucleotides. The record is from RefSeq and is a predicted model, not a curated record. NCBI's taxonomy places the organism in Eukaryota, Metazoa, Chordata, Mammalia, Artiodactyla, Suidae.
AUAAAAGCUACCCAGAGCAAAGACAUGGUGCUCAGAUUCUGGGGACACCUCCUCUGAGCCACACCCAUGCUGAAUAAACCUUGCUGAAUAAAUAUUCCACAUCUCCGAGUGCCACUUGUCUCUUUUUGCUGCCACAGUUUCUGCAACAUUUUCUCCAUGAAGUUGGUCCUGCCCAUCGGUAACAAGAAUCAGAGAAUGAGCUUGGCCAAUCAGAAGCUGUCUCUUGGGAGUUUGAACAGAAGGAUAAUAAUGAGAGAAGCAUCAUCACUAAGCACCAAGAGAAGAAGCAGAGGAAGACAAUAUCUUUAUGGCAGUAUCAUGUAGACUGUUCUGGGCCUGAGAAAGUGAAGAGCGUCACCACCUAAAAAGCAAAGUAAAUUAAUUCCACGGUGUUAAAACUAAUUACAAGUAAACCCGAGAGAGCCAACGAUGGGAAUAAUGUGAAAUCCAGGAUUUGUUUCAGGAAGGGUCCACGGCGGAGAGGAGCCAGCAGCAAGGGUGGAAAUAAAAAGUAGAGCCCAAUCUGGACUGUCGGAAGUGUAAGACUCAUCCUAAACUGAAGAAGGAGCCAACAAACGUUGAAAGAAGACAGAGUGGGGCACGAGCCUGGGGAUGCUAGCUGGAUCCUCUGGAGGACAGCCCGGAGAUGCAGGGACCAGACACAAGCCCGCACAUCUGGAAGUCACUGCAGUGAUGUGAUCUAGAACAGAGGCUAAGAGCUUGGAGAGGAGUGACAGAGGCCAAGGUCAGGAGCCCCAACUGCAAGAGAGAGAAGCAAAGGAGAGAUAAUGGCCCCAGGGGCGGCACAGAAAAGAGGCGGCAAUGACCGGGGAAGGGUAUUUUGAUUUCUGUCUCCCAGCAACACCCAGGGGACUGUUCCAGAGAAUGAACUGAGGUGAGUAAGUUAUGUGGUUCAGGAGUUGCAAAAGUGGUCCAUGCCUGGUGGUGCUGGCAUAGACGUUGAGGGAGUAGAGAAAUCUCCCUGGGCAUCACAGCAUGGACGUGGGGCAAACAGCAUCCAAGGAGUCAACACAAACAUCUAUAUAUUUUUUUAAUUUUUUUGUCUUUUUCAGGCCACUCUUGCAGCAUAUGGAAGUUCCCAGGCUAAGGAUCAAAUCAAAGCUGCAGCUGCCUGCCGACACCACAGCCACAGCAACACCAGAUCCAAGUGUCGUCUGCGACCUACACCACAGCUCAUGGCAACACCGGAUCCUUAACCCACUGAGCGAGGCCACAGAUCAAACCUGCAUCGUCAUGGAUACUAGACGGGCUUGUUACCGCUGAGUCACAAUAGAGCCUCCCAAACAUCCUUAUCUUGGUCACCAGCAGCCAGUCACUUUCAACCAUAGAACUGACCCCUUGGUGGAAGACGGAUGGUUUGCCAACUUCAUAUAAGAGACAUCACUACUGGAGUUCCCUGGUGGCCUAGUGGGUUAAGGAUCCAACGUUGUCACUGUGGUGGCAUGUGUUUGAUCCCUGGCCCAGGAACUUCUGCAUGCUGUGGGGGCAGCCAAAUGAGAAAAAAAACAAAAAAAGGAACCAUCACUGUCAUUCUAUGAUAGUGCCUCCGUAUUCCGUUGAAAAGAGAGGCAUACAGCUAGUGUAUUCCAAAGAGAUUCAUUACUAGUGGUUUUAAAACACAAUAAAAAUUACACAAAAAUGGAGGCUGCUGACACUGAGCUUUGUAAUAAUAAUGCUAGGGAGAGGAGUUCCCCAUCAUGGCUCAGCGGUUAAGGAAUCUGACUAGCAUCCAUGAGGACGCGGGUUUGAUCCCUGGCCUCACUCGGUGGGAUAAGGAUCCAGUGUUGCCAUGAGCUAUGGUGCAGAUUGCAGAUGUGGCUCGGAUCUGGUGAUGCUGUGGCUAUGGCAUAGGCUGGCAGCUGCAGCUCCAGUUCGACCCCUCGCCUGAGAACCUCCAUAUGCCACAAAUGUGGCCCUAAAAAGCAAUAGUAAUGAUAAUAAUGAUAGGUACAGAGUCUUAGCUGAGGGGUUGGUGUUCUUGAAUUUCGACUCUGUGAUCCAUGCAGAAGGAUGUGCGUACAGCCUAUAAAGUUAUCUGCUGAGGAAAUGUUAUGCUAAAUAUCCUUAUUUUCUGAAUAUCCUCUUCUCAUCUCCAGGGUGCAAUAAGACGGGAAUCAUCAGGUAUCUUUGGACAUCAUCUCUGAGUUGGAAACAUUGGGGUAUUGCAGAAAAUUGAAUGAAUUCAUUGAAGGAAAAAUUACUUUAGUUCUUAUAUAUUGUCCAACCAGGACAAGUGUACUCAAAAUAAAACAACAUUUCUUUCAGCGGCUGCCACAAGAAGCCACUUUUUUAAAAAGGCUGACAUCCUCAUAACAGAAACAAGUUUGAUUUUUAAGGGUAAAAAAAGAUGAAUUGAAAGGAAUAAUUUUUAUCGUUCAACAGAUCGGCCCCCAGUCCUCCCCUGCCUGUCAUCAUUUCUGGGUGUUUUCUCCACGGGGUGGAUGGUCUGUGGCCAAAUUUUAACCACUUGAGGUCUUUCCCCUGGCCACCCCACGCAGGGGGGCAAGCACAAGUCCAGCUUCCUGUGGACAGAUGGGCACGGCCGAGGAUUAGAAGUCAGACAGGGCCACCGUGCCAUGUGGGCGGGGUGGGGGGUGGGAUUGGAGGGGAGGCGUGCGCCCAGGUCCCUUGUAAAUCACCAUCUCUUGUUAGACAGCACGCAUCUUUCCUAAUGGAAUGGGCUACUAUGACCUAUCAGAGAUGCUGUAAAUAUGUAUGACAUCAUUCACCUUGAAUUUCAAAUACGCUUAUAGGACAAAAAUAGAUGUAUUUUCCUCAUUAUUCAUUCAAAUAUAUUCUAGUCCAUCUGUUUGAUAGUGAAUUUCUUACCCUCUCUUUGCUGUGGCUCAUUCUGCCUCCCUGAGUGUUUCUUAUCCCUCCUCCUGAAAGGACCCAGAAGAGCCUGGGAUCGAGGCUGUGGAAGGUGGAGGAGUCUGCUGAGCUUGAAGACAAGCACAGACCACUGUCUUCUUUCCAAGUCACCAGGAGGUCUGGAUCUCAAGCCACCAGAUCCCCAGUGACCCAGACUCCCAGAUCCUGUAUCCUACACCACCUGGGUCCUUGCGCCACAGUGGACCACCCAGCACGGAUGUUGGAAAGUUGGAGAUCGUGAGAGGCAUAAUCAUUAACCUGGACGGAAUGUUUGGAGGUUCCCGAGUUGAAGCAACUCAGGUGGAACCACGAGAGCUGUCAGAGGAGAAGGGACUCAUUGGGAAGGGCUGAGCUGACCCUGGCACCAGGCAGACUCAGGAUGGGCGAGGGUGUCUGGCCACUGCUGGGGCAGAACUGCUAUAAACAAGCUGUGCCUGUCAUGUCUUCUCUUUAGCUUGUCCAGAUAACGACGCCUAAUGUUUCACCUUGACCGUCUGCAGCACAUUGACAAGAAGCCUGCUGAGGAGCUAGUAUUUAUUAUUUCAAUGAGUGAUGGCAUAAUAACAUUAUAGUUUUGUUCAUUGUCUCUGUAUGAAAAGUGAGGGGAAAUGAGGAUGGGAAGGCUUGUCACUUCCAGAUGACACAAGGACAGGCUGGAGUACAGGCUCAGCUUUUCUCCACGAUGCACCCAGGAGGCUCAGCCUAUGCUCCAGAAAAGACCUUCCCAGAGAGUGGGUCAAGUUCGUCACUUGCCCUUGUCCCAUCCCCUACGCUUGACAGAGCUCAGUACAUAGUACCCAGCAAAUUGCAAUUGGUAUGAAAGCAGCACCUCGCCUGGCACAUGAGGUCAAGUCCAAGGAUGCCAGAAGGGAUCUUGUCUUCAGUGUCUCCAAAAUGCCAAAGGGAAACAGACAACACGGAGAAGCCAGGUUUCUUUAAUGGGCUUGCCCUUUCUCUGUCGUUCUUCAUCUCGCUCUGCAACCAGCAAGCGCCUCUGCAGAUGCCUGCCUCCUCCAACUGAGCCCCUGGAAAGGCUUGCUCUGCAGCCUGGCCAGCGUGCCGCCUAUCUUCUCUUCUCCCUCAUGUUCUAGCAGAAACUGCAGGUUCUCUUCCCAACAGACACAGGCUUUCUUUCAAAACCCUGUUUUCUCUAUGCUCCAGGCUAUGAAUACACACAUGCACACACACACACAAAAACACACACACACAAACACACACACAAACACGCACACACAGUAACCAAGUUAGAAAGAAGAAAACCAUAGUUUCAGCAAGAAUUUUCUCGUUUGCCCUGUGCGAAAGGGUGGGGGUCAGAUGCUGUCUCUGGCCUGAAGACAUUCUGUACUUCGUCUCAGGUCCACAGCUACCUCUGGGCUCUCUGCCCUGGGGAACACCGGCAGGGCUCUCAGCCAGAAGGAGCUGCUUUAGGGAGCUAGAGGGGCCCAUUACUGUAUUUGCUUUGUUCUGGUUUUUGUCUUGCAGAAAGGUUUGGUUUUCAUUUAUGGUUUUGUUCAUGUGAAAGAUAUCCUAAUUUUGGAGUUCCCCUCAUGGCGCAGCAGUAAUAAACCUGACUAGUAUCCAUGAGGACGUGGGUUCUAUCCCUGGCCUCACUCAGUGGGUUAAGGAUCCAGCAUUGCCAUGAGCUGUGGUGUAGGUUGCAGAGGUGGCUCAGAUCUGGUGUUGCUAUGGCUGUGGUGUAGGCCCGCAGCUGCAGCUUUGAUUCAACCCUUAGCUUGGGAACUUCCCUAUGCCUCUGGUGCAGCCCUAAAAAUUAAAAAAAAAAAUCUUAAUUUUGAAAGUCUUAUAUUUGCCUGCUGUAGUAUAGCCUACAUGUAUGAAAUAUAGCUUUCUUACUGUUUGCCUUUUAAAUUAUCUCUUUACUGUCCUGCUUUUAUCUUUAUCUUGUUUAUCAUUGUAACAGAUUGAAUUAUGUCCCCACAUCCCCAAAUUCUUAUGUUGAAGUUCUAAACCCCAGUAUGUCAGAAUGGGAUAGUAUUUGCAAAUGGGGUCAUUCUGGAUGGAAUUAGUUAAGAUGAGGUCAGCCCGUAGCAGGGUCAGCCUUAACUCAAAAUGGCAGGUGUCGCUCUAACAAGGGGAAAUUUUGACACAGAGAUACACACAGGGAGAAGGCCAUGUGUACGGGAAGGCUGAGAUCAGGAUGAUGUUUCUAGAAGCCAAAGAAUACCAAAAAUUGCCGGCACCUGGGACAGAGUCUCCCUCACAGCCCCUCAGGAGAAACCUUCCUGCUGACACCUUGAUCUUGGACUUCCAGCCUCCAGAACUGAGAGACAGUAAAUUUCUCUUAAGUCCCAGGAUGUGGAUUUUGUUACAGCAGCAAACUCAUACAAUCAUUCUGACAUAUUUUAUAGUUUUUCCUUUCCCUGUUUACUUUUCUUUACCCGUUUUCAUUAUUCAGUCUUGCCAUUAUCACAUCACUUUUGUUUCUUAAAGUCUGAUUUUAUUAUAUCCAAACAUUUGAAUCUUUUAUUAUUUCAGACUUCAUUUCUCUUGCUCCCUUUCUUUUGUUUAUGUCAUGCUUUGAGGCGGAUGCUGUCUUUGCCUUUGGUCCUCUCCGUAAUUUUCCCGUUGGUUUCACCAACUUUGUCACCACCCACAACGUGAUUUCUUCUCACGUCAUGCUUGGACAAUGUGGCUGCCAUGGUGUGCACCCCACAAAUGCCUGUUGUGCUUGGCACUUUUUUCUCCUUUCUGCUCCCCAAUUUCCCUUAAUGGAUCUUCCAUCACCUUCAAUGCCAAUUCUCUAAGUAUUUUCAGCUUGUUUACCUUGAGACUCUCAAGCCAAAAAAUGUCUCCUAGGACCAUUGUGAUUCUCCUUGCACAGAUUAAACACUUGCUGCUUGGAAUAUGUUGUUUUGGACAUCAUACGUCAUCAAGGCCCUUUUGGAGAGGGAGCCACUUCACGGCCCCCACGCUCAGCAGCCAGUGCCAGGUUUAAUGCUCUACUCUUAAGUCUUGAAUUGGUUUCAGUCCUGGACCCUGAAAAUUAUGUAGCCAGCUCUGUUUGAAGAGGAGCCUUUUCUACAACCUAUACCCUCAUGUCUUUGCUCACUGGAGGCUGAGAUAAUUGCACACACUCUGUGCCCUAUGACAGUAGGUCCACCGGGAAAAGACCGUCCCUAUGAGGCAUGGGCAGGAUGUUGCUGAAUUUCUCGCUUGGUUUUUGUGGAAGGAAGCUGAGGAGAGCCUGUGAUCAGCCUGCCUUGAAAGUGGUACGUUUCCAGUAGGACUGGAAUGCUUCAAUACACAGAAAUAUGUCUUUACAAUCUCCAGUGCCUGGAAGAGAAAAAAGAACCCUGGAGUGCGGUGAUGGGCUGCUGGAUGACAUCUCAGCUCUUGAAGGGGGCUCGAUCCUGGUAAAGAUCCCCGGGUCUGCAGACCUGGUAAACUGCAGGCCCCCAGCUGCCCUGCACACCGUCCGUCACAGUGCCCCUUCCCCUGCGUCUGCCCACAGACCAGGCUGAGCCUCCACCGCCAGUCUGUGGUCCUUCUGGGCUAACUUCCUAAAUCCCUCCCUGAAUGGUGACCCAUCUUGACCCUCUGGUUAGAUCCCUCCCUCUUCUUCUCCCCGGGCCCCUUUGCUCUGUGCCCCAGGCAUAGCUGGACAGACUCCUAGAAACGCGGCUCCGGCUCCUUUCGGGAUCCUCCCAGACUCUCUCUCUGCCCUGCUAGGGCUGUCAGCGCACUUCCCCGGCCCCCACCCUGGAUGUCUUGCCCCUGAACAAAGCCAGCCUCACCCACCCGACAGGGACCCUCGCUGAACAAAGGUCCUGGCCCCAACACAGAUUCCCAGCAUGCCCCAGUAGGUGUCCCUUAUCCAGAAAAGCAGAAGGGAGCUUGUUGAUGUGCAAAAUGUGCUGGCAGCAUCUCCAAAGUCUGAAAGAAGAUUUUUUUUAAAAAAUAAGGCUCUAAGAGUUAUGGGAUUCAUUUUCUUUCUCUUUCUUCCCCCAUAUUUCAUAAAUAUUUUGUUCUUGUUUUAACAAAGAAGAAAAUUGUAUUACACAUGCCAAAUAUUGUAAAGUUCAGCUGGGAAAUAAACUCUUGAAACAAU